GCCGAAGUGGCGGAACGGUAGACGCGGCGGUCUCAAAAACCGUUGAGGUAACACUCGUGUGAGUUCGACUCUCACCUUCGGCACCA
This 86-nucleotide transfer RNA is filed under the name Dehalococcoidia bacterium. Its description in RNAcentral is "tRNA-Leu". It matches the Rfam family "tRNA". Rfam says of the family: Transfer RNA (tRNA) molecules are approximately 80 nucleotides in length. Their secondary structure includes four short double-helical elements and three loops (D, anti-codon, and T loops). Further hydrogen bonds mediate the characteristic L-shaped molecular structure. tRNAs have two regions of fundamental functional importance: the anti-codon, which is responsible for specific mRNA codon recognition, and the 3' end, to which the tRNAs corresponding amino acid is attached (by aminoacyl-tRNA synthetases). tRNAs cope with the degeneracy of the genetic code in two manners: having more than one tRNA (with a specific anti-codon) for a particular amino acid; and 'wobble' base-pairing, i.e. permitting non-standard base-pairing at the 3rd anti-codon position. Lineage: Bacteria; Bacillati; Chloroflexota; Dehalococcoidia. The record is from RNAcentral.